RNAcentral lists this ribosomal RNA (721 nucleotides) under uncultured Enterobacterales bacterium. RNAcentral's name for it is "bacterial SSU rRNA". It matches the Rfam family "Bacterial small subunit ribosomal RNA", at positions 60 to 770 of the family's 1533-position model. Lineage: Bacteria; Pseudomonadati; Pseudomonadota; Gammaproteobacteria; Enterobacterales. The record is from RNAcentral.
AGUCGAACGGUAACAGGAAGCAGCUUGCUGCUUCGCUGACGAGUGGCGGACGGGUGAGUAAUGUCUGGGAAACUGCCUGAUGGAGGGGGAUAACUACUGGAAACGGUAGCUAAUACCGCAUAACGUCGCAAGACCAAAGAGGGGGACCUUCGGGCCUCUUGCCAUCGGAUGUGCCCAGAUGGGAUUAGCUAGUAUGUGGGGUAACGGCUCACCUAGGCGACGAUCCCUAGCUGGUCUGAGAGGAUGACCAGCCACACUGGAACUGAGACACGGUCCAGACUCUUACGGGAGGCAGCAGUGGGGAAUAUUGCACUAUGGGCGCAAGCCUGAUGCAGCCAUGCCGCGUGUAUGAAGAAGGCCUUCGGGUUGUAAAGUACUUUCAGCGGGGAGGAAGGCGACAGGGUUAAUAACCCUGUCGAUUGACGUUACCCGCAGAAGAAGCACCGGCUAACUCCGUGCCAGCAGCCGCGGUAAUACGGAGGGUGCAAGCGUUAAUCGGAAUUACUGGGCGUAAAGCGCACGCAGGCGGUCUGUCAAGUCGGAUGUGAAAUCCCCGGGCUCAACCUGGGAACUGCAUUCGAAACUGGCAGGCUAGAGUCUUGUAGAGGGGGGUAGAAUUCCAGGUGUAGCGGUGAAAUGCGUAGAGAUCUGGAGGAAUACCGGUGGCGAAGGCGGCCCCGUGGACAAAGACUGACGCUCAGGUGCGAAAGCGUGGGGAGCA